CCAUUAGUUGUGAACUCCAUUGCCUAGGGUUUUGAGCUUAUAAAUAGAACACUAUUCAUUCCUUGGCUCUCCAAUCCCUCCAUUUGCCUCUUCAAUCUGCAUGAGAAAAACCAACAAGACUCCCCAGCCUUAGAGGAGAAACAAGAGAUAAAGAGUAAGGAAGGAGGAGGGAUUCAAGCUAGUGGUCUAGAGAGCUUGAGCUUCUUCUCCCUGCCUUUCUACUUCCUUUAUGCACCAACUCUGAGGCCCCUUUACCCCACAGGGAUCCUUUGAAAUUCUGCCCUUACAAUGGAACUUCAUGCUGCAACUCUGCGCAUCCAGAAGCAGUUUCCCUGUUAUUUGUGCGGAAUGUGAUAAAUUUUCAGCUGAGCUUUACAGAAUUAGUUCUGUUCCUCGACAUGUUCCUGUGAAAGGUUUGAGGUAAACAGGGCACUGUUGUAAUUGUGGAUAUAUACUUAAUUACUCUGGUUACUGUGUAUAGUGAUAAUUUUAAAAUUUUAAAGUGAAAUAUAAACAAGCCUAGCUACAUGAAUUCCUUAA
Long non-coding RNA from Ipomoea triloba (trilobed morning glory), 540 nucleotides. RefSeq lists it as uncharacterized. Lineage: Eukaryota; Viridiplantae; Streptophyta; Magnoliopsida; Solanales; Convolvulaceae. The record is from RefSeq and is a predicted model, not a curated record. The transcript has 5 exons.